Molecule: unclassified non-coding RNA, 168 nt
Filed under: Lytechinus variegatus (green sea urchin)
Lineage: Eukaryota; Metazoa; Echinodermata; Echinoidea; Temnopleuroida; Toxopneustidae
Description: echinoidin-like, transcript variant X1
Source: RNAcentral
UUUUUUACAUAGCUUUAUCCUGGUAUGUGAUAAGGGCCUACAAGAGGGUAUGCAGUUUCUCCACUGGAAUUAAAAAGCUAUAUGGUUCUUUAGCCAAAAUUCGACUUGGAACGAAGCUGAGCGGUUUUGCCAGUCUUACACCGUACCUUCUCUCAGUGGCGAGGCAAC